UACGAAGGGGACUAGCGUUGUUCGGAUUUACUGGGCGUAAAGCGCGCGUAGGCGGAUCGCUAAGUCAGGGGUGAAAUCCCAGGGCUCAACCCUGGAACUGCCUUUGAUACUGACGAUCUGGAGAUCGGGAGAGGUUGGUGGAAUUCCGAGUGUAGAGGUGAAAUUCGUAGAUAUUCGGAGGAACACCAGAAGCGAAGGCGGCCAACUGGCCCGAUACUGACGCUGAGGCCGCGAAAGCGUGGGGAGCAAACAGG
This 254-nucleotide ribosomal RNA is filed under the name uncultured bacterium. RNAcentral's name for it is "partial 16S ribosomal RNA". It matches the Rfam family "Bacterial small subunit ribosomal RNA", at positions 524 to 776 of the family's 1533-position model. The record is from RNAcentral.